This 531-nucleotide transfer RNA is filed under the name Pseudanabaena sp. CCY9709. Its description in RNAcentral is "partial miscellaneous RNA". The stretch from base 279 to 351 matches the Rfam family "tRNA". The record is from RNAcentral. Lineage: Bacteria; Bacillati; Cyanobacteriota; Cyanophyceae; Pseudanabaenales; Pseudanabaenaceae.
UAGGGAGACCUAUUUAUGUCUAGACUGAACCAAUACAGAAUUAGGUCAGACAUAAGUCAUCCCAAGGUCGUUCGAGGAAUAUUGGAAAGCUUUCAAACUAAGUCAGGUUCUGGAUUAAGCGAAAGCUUAAACUCUUAAACUAAUUAACAAAAGGGCCAUUAGCUCAGUUGGUUAGAGCGCACCCCUGAUAAGGGUGAGGUCUCUGGUUCGUGUCCAGAAUGGCCCACUUGAGAAACUAGAAGCUAGAGGUAAAAAGCCGAAAGCCAAUAGUUAACUCUGGGGAUAUAGCUCAGUUGGUAGAGCGCCUGCUUUGCACGCAGGAAGUCAGGAGUUCGAAUCUCCUUAUCUCCACCAAACAAUGAAGAGAAAGACUUAUCAAAAGAGUUUAGCAACUCAUCUAGUUGAUAUAGCUGAGAAGCUAGAGAUAGACUAGAGAGCCUGCUGAAUUCAAGCGAGAGCAAAGAAUUCAGAAAGAACCUUGAAAACUGCAUAGUAAAUAAGUAACGAACAAAAGCAAGUAGUACCGAAGUA